UAAAGGUCUAAAAGACCUUUCUAAAGCUUGCCAUCUAAUGAAUGGCAUGAUCAAAAGAACCAAAUAGAUUGCCAAGCUCCAGGUUCUUCUUAGUGUACCAAGUACAGUAUUUAAGAUAAAAGCAUUACGUGAGCAGGGCCUAGUGUUGCACACCUGUAAUCCCAGCAGUUUUGGAGGUUGAGACAGGAGGAUCGCAAAUUCGAGGCCACCCCUGAGCAACUUAAUGAGACCCUGUCUCAAAAAUACAAAGGACCUAGUAUGUAGCUCAGUAGUCAACUGCCCCUGGGUUAAACUCUCAAUUUUAAAAACCCCCAAAAGACCAACACAUUACACCAUGGAAAUCAUUGCAUCGAAUCCAGAGAAGAUGUUAAAGUAAACGAUUGAAGAAAAAUGCCCAUAAAAAACAGUAGGCAUGGUGCUUUCUAGUGACUUCUAGGUUUAUAGCAAAAUUCCCAGGACAGGUCUGUCUUAAGGUUGAUAGACUGGGUGAGUUUGCAAAUUUAUUAAGUGAGCAAAAUGAAAAAAUUUCAAAAUAGGAGUUAUAUAACUUAAAAAAUUAUUGCCUGUGUGAGAAAUGCAAAUGGC
This 585-nucleotide long non-coding RNA is filed under the name Marmota monax (woodchuck). Lineage: Eukaryota; Metazoa; Chordata; Mammalia; Rodentia; Sciuridae. The record is from RNAcentral.